UUCAACUCUCUAUAACUUCUUCAUCCGAACUCCAAAUUCAUCAAACAAUAUAAGAAUAGUAUAGCCAAAAGAGUUUUCUCUUCAAUUCUAGUGAAUAAUAUUUUUACUAUUUUUAAAUGUAAUUUGUGCUCUAAAAAGUAAUAGUGGAUACAAAAUUGACACCUUAACUUUGAGUGCCAAUAAUGCCUUCAUAAAAACUCCAAAUUA
RNAcentral lists this long non-coding RNA (207 nucleotides) under Physcomitrium patens. Its description in RNAcentral is "long non-coding RNA (PPAT_LNC009128)". The record is from RNAcentral. Lineage: Eukaryota; Viridiplantae; Streptophyta; Bryopsida; Funariales; Funariaceae.